AACGAGACUAGAGUCACAUCUUCACAUGUCUGGUUGUCUUGGUGUGCUAUAGUUCUCGGACAUAAAUGUCUGAUGUCUAUUCACUGACUGUGAUGUCUCGUGUCUCAGCCAGCCACCGACUCAGUGACACAC
RNAcentral lists this small nucleolar RNA (132 nucleotides) under Apaloderma vittatum (bar-tailed trogon). RNAcentral describes it as "Small nucleolar RNA SNORA3/SNORA45 family". It matches the Rfam family "Small nucleolar RNA SNORA3/SNORA45 family". From Rfam's summary of the family: The members of this family belong to the H/ACA class of snoRNAs which are thought to guide the sites of modification of uridines to pseudouridines. This family includes mouse snoMBI-28 and human homologues ACA3 (SNORA3) and ACA3-2 (SNORA45). Lineage: Eukaryota; Metazoa; Chordata; Aves; Trogoniformes; Trogonidae. The record is from Rfam by way of RNAcentral.